Molecule: ribosomal RNA, 2902 nt
Filed under: Escherichia coli BCE007_MS-11
Lineage: Bacteria; Pseudomonadati; Pseudomonadota; Gammaproteobacteria; Enterobacterales; Enterobacteriaceae
Description: bacterial LSU rRNA
Rfam family: Bacterial large subunit ribosomal RNA
Source: RNAcentral
UUAAGCGACUAAGCGUACACGGUGGAUGCCCUGGCAGUCAGAGGCGAUGAAGGACGUGCUAAUCUGCGAUAAGCGUCGGUAAGGUGAUAUGAACCGUUAUAACCGGCGAUUUCCGAAUGGGGAAACCCAGUGUGUUUCGACACACUAUCAUUAACUGAAUCCAUAGGUUAAUGAGGCGAACCGGGGGAACUGAAACAUCUAAGUACCCCGAGGAAAAGAAAUCAACCGAGAUUCCCCCAGUAGCGGCGAGCGAACGGGGAGCAGCCCAGAGCCUGAAUCAGUGUGUGUGUUGGUGGAAGCGUCUGGAAAGGCGCGCGAUACAGGGUGACAGCCCCGUACACAAAAAUGCACAUGCUGUGAGCUCGAUGAGUAGGGCGGGACACGUGGUAUCCUGUCUGAAUAUGGGGGGACCAUCCUCCAAGGCUAAAUACUCCUGACUGACCGAUAGUGAACCAGUACCGUGAGGGAAAGGCGAAAAGAACCCCGGCGAGGGGAGUGAAAAAGAACCUGAAACCGUGUACGUACAAGCAGUGGGAGCCUCUUUUAUGGGGUGACUGCGUACCUUUUGUAUAAUGGGUCAGCGACUUAUAUUCUGUAGCAAGGUUAACCGAAUAGGGGAGCCGAAGGGAAACCGAGUCUUAACUGGGCGUUAAGUUGCAGGGUAUAGACCCGAAACCCGGUGAUCUAGCCAUGGGCAGGUUGAAGGUUGGGUAACACUAACUGGAGGACCGAACCGACUAAUGUUGAAAAAUUAGCGGAUGACUUGUGGCUGGGGGUGAAAGGCCAAUCAAACCGGGAGAUAGCUGGUUCUCCCCGAAAGCUAUUUAGGUAGCGCCUCGUGAAUUCAUCUCCGGGGGUAGAGCACUGUUUCGGCAAGGGGGUCAUCCCGACUUACCAACCCGAUGCAAACUGCGAAUACCGGAGAAUGUUAUCACGGGAGACACACGGCGGGUGCUAACGUCCGUCGUGAAGAGGGAAACAACCCAGACCGCCAGCUAAGGUCCCAAAGUCAUGGUUAAGUGGGAAACGAUGUGGGAAGGCCCAGACAGCCAGGAUGUUGGCUUAGAAGCAGCCAUCAUUUAAAGAAAGCGUAAUAGCUCACUGGUCGAGUCGGCCUGCGCGGAAGAUGUAACGGGGCUAAACCAUGCACCGAAGCUGCGGCAGCGACGCUUAUGCGUUGUUGGGUAGGGGAGCGUUCUGUAAGCCUGUGAAGGUGUGCUGUGAGGCAUGCUGGAGGUAUCAGAAGUGCGAAUGCUGACAUAAGUAACGAUAAAGCGGGUGAAAAGCCCGCUCGCCGGAAGACCAAGGGUUCCUGUCCAACGUUAAUCGGGGCAGGGUGAGUCGACCCCUAAGGCGAGGCCGAAAGGCGUAGUCGAUGGGAAACAGGUUAAUAUUCCUGUACUUGGUGUUACUGCGAAGGGGGGACGGAGAAGGCUAUGUUGGCCGGGCGACGGUUGUCCCGGUUUAAGCGUGUAGGCUGGUUUUCCAGGCAAAUCCGGAAAAUCAAGGCUGAGGCGUGAUGACGAGGCACUACGGUGCUGAAGCAACAAAUGCCCUGCUUCCAGGAAAAGCCUCUAAGCAUCAGGUAACAUCAAAUCGUACCCCAAACCGACACAGGUGGUCAGGUAGAGAAUACCAAGGCGCUUGAGAGAACUCGGGUGAAGGAACUAGGCAAAAUGGUGCCGUAACUUCGGGAGAAGGCACGCUGAUAUGUAGGUGAAGCGACUUGCUCGUGGAGCUGAAAUCAGUCGAAGAUACCAGCUGGCUGCAACUGUUUAUUAAAAACACAGCACUGUGCAAACACGAAAGUGGACGUAUACGGUGUGACGCCUGCCCGGUGCCGGAAGGUUAAUUGAUGGGGUCAGCGCAAGCGAAGCUCUUGAUCGAAGCCCCGGUAAACGGCGGCCGUAACUAUAACGGUCCUAAGGUAGCGAAAUUCCUUGUCGGGUAAGUUCCGACCUGCACGAAUGGCGUAAUGAUGGCCAGGCUGUCUCCACCCGAGACUCAGUGAAAUUGAACUCGCUGUGAAGAUGCAGUGUACCCGCGGCAAGACGGAAAGACCCCGUGAACCUUUACUAUAGCUUGACACUGAACAUUGAGCCUUGAUGUGUAGGAUAGGUGGGAGGCUUUGAAGUGUGGACGCCAGUCUGCAUGGAGCCGACCUUGAAAUACCACCCUUUAAUGUUUGAUGUUCUAACGUUGACCCGUAAUCCGGGUUGCGGACAGUGUCUGGUGGGUAGUUUGACUGGGGCGGUCUCCUCCUAAAGAGUAACGGAGGAGCACGAAGGUUGGCUAAUCCUGGUCGGACAUCAGGAGGUUAGUGCAAUGGCAUAAGCCAGCUUGACUGCGAGCGUGACGGCGCGAGCAGGUGCGAAAGCAGGUCAUAGUGAUCCGGUGGUUCUGAAUGGAAGGGCCAUCGCUCAACGGAUAAAAGGUACUCCGGGGAUAACAGGCUGAUACCGCCCAAGAGUUCAUAUCGACGGCGGUGUUUGGCACCUCGAUGUCGGCUCAUCACAUCCUGGGGCUGAAGUAGGUCCCAAGGGUAUGGCUGUUCGCCAUUUAAAGUGGUACGCGAGCUGGGUUUAGAACGUCGUGAGACAGUUCGGUCCCUAUCUGCCGUGGGCGCUGGAGAACUGAGGGGGGCUGCUCCUAGUACGAGAGGACCGGAGUGGACGCAUCACUGGUGUUCGGGUUGUCAUGCCAAUGGCACUGCCCGGUAGCUAAAUGCGGAAGAGAUAAGUGCUGAAAGCAUCUAAGCACGAAACUUGCCCCGAGAUGAGUUCUCCCUGACUCCUUGAGAGUCCUGAAGGAACGUUGAAGACGACGACGUUGAUAGGCCGGGUGUGUAAGCGCAGCGAUGCGUUGAGCUAACCGGUACUAAUGAACCGUGAGGCUUAACCUU